Molecule: long non-coding RNA, 636 nt
Filed under: Homo sapiens (human)
Lineage: Eukaryota; Metazoa; Chordata; Mammalia; Primates; Hominidae
Description: non-protein coding lnc-MKLN1-1:11
Source: RNAcentral
UCAGCUGUUACAGGGUGUUAUCAAUUAUCUCUGGUAAAUUGGCAGGUCUGAGCUCAGAUCAGCAAGGCAGAGAAACUCCAGAUGGCAAAUUAUCCCAACUCUUCUAACUCGUAAAAGCAUUAAUAAAUUACCCCAGGGCUGAACGCACGCUGCUUUAGCUCCUUGCCUCGUUCCUUCCUCCCGGGCGCGACGCGAGGUGAAAAUGAUGCGCACGUAGAUUUGUAGAGCGUAUUCUUGAGAAUUUCCCUGGGAUGAAUCGGGAGGAGCGGUGGAGACUCCGGAGACAGGUGCCGCGCUGGUCUGGGCUGCCGGCUAAAAGUUGUCCUCCGCGCGGUGGGCGGUGGGGUCCCCGGCCAGGGCCAAGGACCCCGGCUCCCUGCCCCCCGGCGUCGCCCACUUGUCACGCCAGGCUGCUGCGUGCACUCGGCUGCAGGGGAGGUGGCGUAGUUUCUCUUCCUCCCACCUCUUCUCACUCACUUGUUUUUGUAGCCGUGGGCUCCCCUAAUGCUUUCCUCUCCACAAUGUUGUUUCAUUAUAUCAUGUCCAUCAUGUGACACCAGAGAGGCCUCUCUAUGGAAACUUAAAGGGGCUCCCACGUGACUGCAGCAGCAACAACAGCAGCAGGACUGGCGGCGG